RNAcentral lists this ribosomal RNA (253 nucleotides) under uncultured bacterium. Its description in RNAcentral is "partial 16S ribosomal RNA". It matches the Rfam family "Bacterial small subunit ribosomal RNA", at positions 524 to 776 of the family's 1533-position model. The record is from RNAcentral.
UACAGAGGGUGCGAGCGUUGUCCGGAAUCACUGGGCGUAAAGAGCGCGCAGGCGGUCGUUCAAGUCGCGUGUGAAAGCCCCCGGCUCAACUGGGGAGGGUCACGCGAUACUGAUCGACUCGAAGGCAGGAGAGGGUAGUGGAAUUCCCGGUGUAGUGGUGAAAUGCGUAGAUAUCGGGAGGAACACCAGUGGCGAAGGCGACUACCUGGCCUGUUCUUGACGCUGAGGCGCGAAAGCUAGGGGAGCAAACGGG